This 709-nucleotide ribosomal RNA is filed under the name uncultured bacterium. RNAcentral describes it as "bacterial SSU rRNA". It matches the Rfam family "Bacterial small subunit ribosomal RNA", at positions 102 to 788 of the family's 1533-position model. The record is from RNAcentral.
ACGGGUGAGUAACACGUAGGCAACCUGCCGACAGGAUGGGGACAACAUUCCGAAAGGAAUGCUAAUACCGAAUGAAGUGCAGGGGAGGCAUCUCCCCUGCAUGAAAGAUGGCCUCUAUAUAUAAGCUAUCACCUGUCGAUGGGCCUGCGUCUGAUUAGCUGGUAGGUGAGGUAACGGCUCACCUAGGCGACGAUCAGUAGCCGGUCUGAGAGGAUGAACGGCCACAUUGGGACUGAGACACGGCCCAGACUCCUACGGGAGGCAGCAGUGGGGAAUCUUCCGCAAUGGGCGCAAGCCUGACGGAGCAACGCCGCGUGAGUGAAGAAGGUCUUCGGAUCGUAAAGCUCUGUUGCACGGGACGAAAACCGAGCUUGAAAAUAUCGAGCUUGGGUGACGGUACCGAGCGAGGAAGCCACGGCUAACUUCGUGCCAGCAGCCGCGGUAAUACGUAGGUGGCGAGCGUUGUCCGGAAUUAUUGGGCGUAAAGGGAGCGCAGGCGGACAUAUAAGUCCAUCUUAAAAGUGCGGGGCUCAACCCCGUGAGGGGAUGGAAACUGUAUGCCUUGAGUGCAGGAGAGGAAAGCGGAAUUCCCAGUGUAGCGGUGAAAUGCGUAGAUAUUGGGAGGAACACCAGUGGCGAAGGCGGCUUUCUGGACUGUAACUGACGCUGAGGCUCGAAAGCCAGGGGAGCGAACGGGAUUAGAUACCCC